CUUCGUCCUCCUUCCUUCCUUACCUUCCUCCUUCCUUCCUUCCUUCCUUCCCUUCCUUCCUUCCCUUCCUUCCUUCCUUCCUUCCUCUUCCUUCCUUCCUUCCUUCCUUCCUUCCUUCCUUCCUUCCUUCCUUCCUUCCUUCCUUCCAUGCUUUUCCUCCUCUUCCUUCCAUUCCUUCCCUUCCCUCCUUCCUUCCUUCUUCCAUUCCUUCCUUCCUCUCGUCCUUCCUUCCUUCCUUCCUUCCUUCCUUCCUUCCUCCCCUCCGCUCCUUCCUUCCCUUCCCUUCCUUUCUCCUCCUUCCUGCCUGUCCUUCCUUCCUUCCUUCCCCUGUCCUUUCUUUUUCCUUACCUUCGUUCCUUACCUUCGUUCCUUACCUUCGUUCCUUACCUUCGUUCCUUCUUCCUUCUCCUUCCUUCCCUUCCUUACUUCUUCCUUCCUUCCUUCCCUUCCUUCCUUCCUUCCUUCCUUCCUUCCUUACCUUUCCUUCCUCUCCUUCCUUCCUUCCUUCCUUCCUUCCUUCCUUCCUUCCUUCCUGCCUGCCCUUUCCUUCUUCCUUCCUUCCUUCCUCCUCCUUCCUUCCUUCCAUUCUUUCCCUUCCUUCCUUUCCUUCCUUCCUUCAUUCAUUCCUUUCCUUCCAUUCAUUCAUUCCUUCCUUCCUUCCUUCCUUCCUUCCCUUCCUUCCUUCCCUCCUUCCUUCCUCUUCCUUUCCUCUUCUUCCUUCCUCUUCCUUCCUUCCUCUCCUUCAUUCCUUCCUUCCUUCCUUCCUUCCUUCCUUCCUUCCUUCCUUCCUUCCUUCUUCCUUCGUCCUUCUUCCUUCCUUCCUUCCUUCCUUCCUUCCUUCCUUCCUUCCUUCCUUCCUGCCUUCCUUCCAAGGAAGGAAGGAAGGAAGGAAGGAAGGAAGGAAGGAAGGAAGGAAGGAAGGAAGAAAAAGGCUUCAGAAUCUGGUUUAAAAACCAGAGCUAGUUGUCCAGAGAACUUUUGACAGCUCUGUCCUAAGAGAUAUUCAGAAGAUAAGCAAAUGAGGCCCUGAGCAACCUCAUCUAAAUACGAAGUUAGUCCUUCUUAAAGACCUUUGGGGAUCCUUUACAAUCUCAUUUUUAUUAUGAUUUUAUGAUUCAAGGAACUCAGAAGAGAAAGGAG
This 1140-nucleotide long non-coding RNA is filed under the name Coturnix japonica (Japanese quail). RNAcentral describes it as "lncRNA (ENSCJPG00005013433.1)". Lineage: Eukaryota; Metazoa; Chordata; Aves; Galliformes; Phasianidae. The record is from RNAcentral.